UAUGGACAUUAGAUUUGAGAAGCUUAUAUAGCACAUGGGCGAGGAUAAAGGGAUACAAAUCAGAGAGAAAAACCUGAAGAGAUUAAAAAAAAAAAAAAAAUCCAGGGCCAAGUAUUUACUGUUCAUUCCCCUUGUGAGUGGUGUUACAUAUUGUCUGCAGUGAGUCAUGCUGAGAGCGAGCCAGGCACAAUAAUAGUGGAGAGCAGUCCUGCAGCCCCUUCGUUAUUGCCUGCACUGGUUCAGACUGAGUUGGGCGAGAGAAAGGGAUUCCAAAAAAUGUUCCUUUUCUUCCUUUUCUCCUGUUUCCCAGAGAGCCUGGUGGUGAUUGCUGGGGAUGCGCUGCCAUGAAAGAACCGCCAAACUAAAAUCAAACGUAUUUUUACAUGGAAAGAUGCUGACACAUUACAUGACAAAAUGUAAUCAACUGCGAAGAGUUGUUUAUUGCCCAGAUGAUGAGCGUGAUGUCACUGCGGAGCAGGAGACCCCACAUGAACCAUCAUGUCAGCUUCACUGGGAAACACUGCAAACGUGAACUGCCCCUUGAACACUUCAGGAGAUAUGAGAAGAGGACAUUUGGAUAUCCUCCUGAGCCCUCUCCCCAAACAACUGUAGUUUAGAUUUAAGACAACCAAUUGAUCAAAGGAAAGAAGAGGGUUUUGGAUGAGCCCUUACAAGUCCCUAAAUAUGAGGAAGUGUGCUAUACACUCACCUUCUGUAAUAACAUGGAGCUUUGAACACCUCAAUGUAUUUCUGCAGUAUUACUCAGCUUGGUUUCCUGUGCCAGCACUGCAGAAAUAAACAAGUGUGAGAAUACCUGGUUUUGGGGAGGGGAGGCUUGUGACAAGUGCCCGUUCUGUGGGAAACAGCAGUGCCACGUGGGCUGGAGCACACACCGACUUCACAAGGGAAAGAAAGGAGCCAGAGCCUGGAAAUGACAUGAGCCUCUUACCAGAGAACGGAUGACAAAUCAGAGCUAAAGCCAGCUUUACCUCCUGCCAUCAGGACUCUCAGCUGCUACUUAUUAGUGCAGUGUUUGUUACUGCGCAUAAAUCAAAAUCCAACCUCUGUGACACAGCACAUCAUUUGUUCACUUGUUUUCCUCUCAUCCCACCUGCCUGAUAUGACUGUAUCAGGAAUAAAGGAACUUUAUGGAGAGAAAUCUGCAGUGCCCUUCAAAACACCGCGCUCGGUGAAUUCCUGCAUCUGUAAAUCUGGCUGCUGUGCUCUCCUCUCACCAAAAUAUUUUGACUGCAGGAAUCUGUCUGGUACAAGAAUGUGCCAGUAACAAACAAGGAGCACAUUUACGUUUGCUGGGCUCGCUGAACAUCACUUUGGGUGCCCUGUUCUGAACAAACACCCACUUCUCAGAAGCCCUGCUGGCUCAGGCCCAGCGGCGUGGGCUCGGCGUCAUGGUGGUAAGGCCACAGAAAUGUUGCUGCACACAAGGCAUGAAGGAGGCCCACCACCAAGAUGGGACCUUACACUGAAGCAACGUUCAGGGGUUAUCCCACAGAAAAUGGCACCUCUGGUUGGAAAGUGCUCAUUAUUGGCAGCAUCAAGCUCCUGCUUGGUUGUAUGCUGCAGCCUUAACCUGGUGAGCAGCCUGCCCGGCUCAGAGAGGGCCCUGAUGGAGAACUGCCCCUCCUGUCCAACCGCUCCCCACCACACCUGCAAAAAAUGUUCACUGAUGUUUUUUGGAAUGUUGUAGAAAAUCUCCCUGUGAAUGCAGGCCCUCUUUACCUCAGCCACAACACCAGGUUUGCACAGACCCACAGGGCAGAACAGCCACAGGGUUUUGGUUGCUCUGACAGCUCAGGCUCCUCGUGCUCCUCAUGCCUGACUUGCCCCUAAAGUGCACCUUGUACCUUCAAAACACAUACAGUGCAACGGGAAGCUUCUGCAGGUGCAAGCUGGCAUCAAGUCACUUGAGCCUAUAUCAUGCUCUGGCAGACCCCCCAGUAAGCUUUCCCCCGUUCCAUUGAAAAACUGAAUGUGACCAGGGUUCCACCAGCUCAACAAGUGCUUGAAGAUACUUUGCUGCAUCCCAGCAGCUCACAUGCAACAUCCAUAUAUUUGAACACCUUAACUUAUAUUUACUGUAUUGCCUCAGAUCCAUAAUGCACCCUUAAAAUGCAUCCAUGCCGAGCUGCUGCUGUAGCAAGCACUUGUGUUAGUGUGAAUACCCGAAACCUGAAUUGGACAUCAUGGCAUCUAUAAAACACAGUAUCAAAGUCACACUUGCCCCAGACCCUGAUCUUUUAUUAAUUUCUUCCAUACAGAGAAGAAAAAAAAUUACAACCAAGUUCCUUUAAAGAUGUCUCUGGAGUCUGAGUUAGAGAAAAGGCCUUAGGUGGGCUUUUUUUUCUUUUUUUAACUUGGACAUUUACUACAAAGAUAAGCAGAAAAGGUGCUGUUUAAUCUCUCUUCUCAUGUGAUCCUCAGUCUCUACCUGGUUUAUUCUCCCCCAUGCAGUCUCCUUUGUUCUCUGGUAGCAGUCUUCUAAACAAGUGAUUAGCAGAGGGGGGAUCAGCCUGCGAUGCUCCUAGCUGUGGGAUACAAUGCAGGUAAAAAAUGAAAUCCACACGUUCUUGUUCUGACAUGUCCCACAGUACUGCAUUGUCCCAACAGAAAAUUCAGCGUUGUAGCUGCUCACAUGCUUUUUCCUUUGGAGGGAGCGCUGUCCCUCAGCACUUCUACAAAUCUCCCAGACCUCCCUACACCUUUUUCCAGUUAAAUUACUUUCCUUAACUUAAUUUGGGCUGUCUAAUUAGAGUUGGUUGGAAGUUUUCCCCAACAAAGCAAGAUUAUUCAACAGCUUUGGUAAACCAUGAUUUGUCAGGAGAUAAACACUUAUCUUCCAGUUAAUUCCCUCCACCUGUGGGUGCCAGGAGCUGAAAUUUGCCAGCUCUGUGACAGGUUUCCAGCUGACCUCAGGGAUCCUUGUCCCUUCACUGUACAGCUGGGAGCCAACAUGAUUUACCAGCAUAUGCAGCAAUGGAAAAUCAAUAGGUUUAUUUUGGUUUCAGACACCACAGACUUACUGUUGGACAUGAAACUGGCCAAAUAGUUAUCCCCAAAUGUAUCAAUAUUUCAUCGCUUGAACAUAUUUCAAGUCCACAAAUUCAUGGUUUUGCUGUUAGUUCAUAAUGAAGUAUUUCUAAAAAACAUUGGCUUCAUGAAGGAAUGAAUUACUGAUCAGCAUUAGCAAUGUAACCUAUCAAAAGGGGACACAAGCUUCACCAGCUGUCAGAGACACUAAGUAAAUUCACCCUACAAAUAGGAUGUAUUCUUCCUAAAGAAAAUAAUGACUUAAUAGACCAUCACGACUUGGGCAGGAAAGGUGUGUUUUUAUCAAGUUUAAAAUCAAUUAGAAUUCUAGCAGUCUUGAAGUAAAUGAUUAUUUCUUUUCUUUUUUUUCUUUUUUUCUCAUUGAUUUCAGUAGUUUGACGACUUUAUCUCAUAUGCUAUACUAAAACAGAUGCUUCAGCUUGAAAACAAAAUGGAGCUUGAGGCUAGAUUCCACUCUGUGAAUGUCAGUGGUGUAUGCAAGGGAGAAGUCACAGUUGAUAGCCUUUUAAUUUGUUAAUUAUAUAAGAGGUUGCAAUGGCUAUGGUUUACCUAUGAUAGAAUUUACAUUUUGUUCUGUUUUAACACAUUUGCAGAUGGUCUUGUAGCAUUGGCUUAUAGUCUUCUUUUUUACCUGUAUGAGAUAACAAAUUUGUUGUCUACUGUGAAUAUAAAUCUUACUGAGGGAAAAGAAAUGUCAAUGUCUGAGCACCACUGCUCAGAAAAAAAGAAGUGAAGCUCUCUGCUAUGGCCAGUAUUGUAUUGUUUGUAAUAGAUUUAUCUCAACAUGUUCACAGUGGAAAGACUGAAAUUUGAAUUCCCCAUAGCGUGAAGGUCUCAUUUGCAGUCUUCAGAAAAUCAGCAGUUCUUUGGCUUAACUGUUACUUAAUAAAAUUGCACUUGCCUUCUGUUAAUCAUUCCUCUAAUAAACCUUCCAUUGCAAACAUACUGCAGUAGGAUGUAUCUGCUUGAAUAAAG
Molecule: long non-coding RNA, 4044 nt
Organism: Gallus gallus (chicken)
Lineage: Eukaryota; Metazoa; Chordata; Aves; Galliformes; Phasianidae
Source: Ensembl